UCUUAAAUAUGGUGCACAACAUGCUCUAUUCACUGGGCCUUGUCCAAAUACCCCUUGUCCAGCACUCUGAUCUUUGCCCUGCGUUGGAGUUGAGGCAGGAGACUUGGCCAAACUCGAGCUGAUUCCACACAAGUCCCCCUUGCCCUGGCAGUGCAGGUGCUGUGGAAGGGCUUUGACAGGAUGCUGAGAAAUGAAGAGGAGAACACAACCAGCUUCCCUUUGCAAGUCACGAUGCUCCUGCAGCACAGCAGCUGCGUGGAGAUUCAGGGACUCUGCCCACAAGCUUUGAAGUAAUAAAUGUGAAUUUACUUGCACCAGAGGGCCCUUAACUCAGACUUCAGUAGUGAGCCUAGCGUGCUUUUCUUCUUUAAGCUGCUUUCAGUCCAUCAGCCCUGGCUGAAGCCGAGCUGUGUGGAUUUCCAGGAAUGCACUAAGAAUUCCCUGGCUCUGGCAGCCUCUCUGCAUGCACCUGAAGAAUCUCCGUGCUGACAAUCCAGUGCAUCCUCUGCCAGGAGCAGGGCCCACGCAGGAUGGAGGGAUUAAAGGAGGAAGGGACAAACCCUGCAGGUACCAGCUGAAGGAGUGGAGUCCUUGUUCCAUUUGAGCUUCUAUCCCUGGGGACUGCUGAGGUUUGCAGACAAAGGAGUUGUGAGGAGUAGCAGGGGCUUGGUGCCACCUCUGUUGGUGGAUUCCGCACCUCGAGAGCUCUUGUCCUGCGCUCAGGGUGCCACUUUCAGUGGUGGGAGCUUCCACGUCCAUCGUGCAGUUCCUCUGUUCAAUUACUUAAGUACAAACAACCUUAAACUUUGCUUCCCCAAAGGGUCUCUGGCUUUUGUGUUAACUUUUUAAUCAGCGUGAGGUCAGAGGGAAGAAUGCCCAGCACUAAUGGACAUCACUGCCUCAUCACUCACCCUCCUCUUUCAAACACACAUUUCAUGGCUAUUGUUAAUGCAGAGUCAUUUCCCAAGCCUUAGCUUCCACCCCAUCCCAAUGACAAAUGCUCUUGAUUUGGACUGUACUGUCAGCUGCAGGGUCACAUCAGACAGUUCCUCAGUGCUGCUCCAGACAGGCCAUCCAGUUUUAUGAUAGCUCUGUCUCGGCGAUCACAAUUGAACGUCAGGAAUCCAGAGGCUUUUCAAGUUUAAUUGAAUAAAAUCCUUUGCAAUAUAAA
This is a long non-coding RNA of Pezoporus occidentalis (night parrot), 1171 nucleotides long. RefSeq lists it as uncharacterized. The transcript has 2 exons. NCBI's taxonomy places the organism in Eukaryota, Metazoa, Chordata, Aves, Psittaciformes, Psittacidae. The record is from RefSeq and is a predicted model, not a curated record.